UGAAAACGGCAUUAAAACAUUAGAGGAAAAUUUCACAGAAGCAAUACAUUCUGUUAAUUAUUGUUUUGGUGAUAACGGUAUUCCAGACCAUGUACAGAAAAUCUUAAGCGACGAUUGCUGCCUGAAUCUGACUCAGAAAAGCUCACCUUUCUGGGUCAUGACUGCGGCUCUCAAAGAGUUUGUUCUAGCCGAAGGAGAUCUUCCUAUCCAAGGUAGUUUACCAGAUAUGGCAGCCGAUACCUUGAGUUACGUAACAUUACAGCAGCUGUACCAUAAACAAGCCCAGUCUCAAGCUGAGGUGGUAUACAGGAGGGCGUCGCAAAUCCUGAAUGUCCUGGGUCUUCCACAAGAGACUAUCACAGAAAGUGAGG
This is a long non-coding RNA of Leptinotarsa decemlineata (Colorado potato beetle), 371 nucleotides long. NCBI's taxonomy places the organism in Eukaryota, Metazoa, Arthropoda, Insecta, Coleoptera, Chrysomelidae. The record is from RefSeq and is a predicted model, not a curated record.